RNAcentral lists this ribosomal RNA (253 nucleotides) under uncultured bacterium. Its description in RNAcentral is "partial 16S ribosomal RNA". It matches the Rfam family "Bacterial small subunit ribosomal RNA", at positions 524 to 776 of the family's 1533-position model. The record is from RNAcentral.
UACAGAGGUCUCAAGCGUUGUUCGGAUUCAUUGGGCGUAAAGGGUGCGUAGGCGGCGCGGUAAGUCGGGUGUGAAAUCUCGGGGCUUAACUCCGAAACUGCAUUCGAUACUGGCGUGCUUGAGGACUGGAGAGGAGACUGGAAUUUACGGUGUAGCGGUGAAAUGCGUAGAUAUCGUAAGGAAGACCAGUGGCGAAGGCGGGUCUCUGGACAGUUCCUGACGCUGAGGCACGAAGGCCAGGGGAGCAAACGGG